This 253-nucleotide ribosomal RNA is filed under the name uncultured bacterium. Its description in RNAcentral is "partial 16S ribosomal RNA". It matches the Rfam family "Bacterial small subunit ribosomal RNA", at positions 524 to 776 of the family's 1533-position model. The record is from RNAcentral.
GACAGAGGGGGCAAGCGUUGCUCGGAAUUACUGGGCGUAAAGGGCGCGUAGGCGGCCAACUAAGUCGGACGUGAAAUCCCCGGGCUCAACCCGGGAACUGCGUCCGAUACUGGAUGGCUUGAAUCCGGGAGAGGGAUGUGGAAUUCCAGGUGUAGCGGUGAAAUGCGUAGAUAUCUGGAGGAACACCGGUGGCGAAGGCGGCAUCCUGGACCGGUAUUGACGCUGAGGCGCGAAAGCCAGGGGAGCAAACGGG